Molecule: long non-coding RNA, 1903 nt
Filed under: Parus major (Great Tit)
Lineage: Eukaryota; Metazoa; Chordata; Aves; Passeriformes; Paridae
Description: lncRNA (ENSPMJG00000001891.1)
Source: RNAcentral
CGGGAUCUUCCACGUUUUCAAGGAUAAAACUCAGCAAAAAAAGGGAAAGAAUCCCCCCAAACCCUUCCCGAAUGAUUCCUCCCCCAAUUCCAUGGGAUUUUGGGAUUUUUUUAAUUUUUAAUUGGAUUCAAACACACCAAACUCACAGGAAGGGCUGGGGGGGGAGGGGGGGUCACUCCUCCCUGGCUGGAUUUGGGAAUUCUGGGAUUCGGGAAUUCUGGGAUUCGGGAACAGGGACCAGCCCAGGGGGAGGAGCAGCCCCCAAAAAAAAGAGGGAAAAGGAUGAGCCUGGAUGAAUCCCAUGGGAUUUUUGGGAAGCACGGUGGCACCUCCAGGCUGAUUGCUGGGAAGGGAUUUAAUUCCCAAAGGAAGGGGGGAAAAGCCGGGAUUGGCAUUCCCGAGGAUUCCGGCGUUCCCGAGGGAGCUCAGCAUUCCCACAGGGAACGUCACUCCCCCUUCCCAAGGCUCCCGAGCCCGGGAAAGAGGAAAAAGGGAUGGGAAAAGCAGGAAUUUCCCUUCUCCGGGUGGAUCUGGGGCUCCAGCAUCCCUGGGGACACCGGGAAUGUCACCUGUCCCCCUCAGGAAAAGCGGGAAUGGCGCUGGGGAGCGGCUCCCCCGCUUCCUUCCUGAGGGAUUUUCACUCUUCCCGACCCUGCUGCUCCCAAAAUCCCGAGGCUGGAGCGGCGAUCCCGCUCUGGAAUCUUCUGGGAGCGUUUUCCGAGCGGAAUUCCAAGGAGGGAGUGGCAGGGACAGCCUGGGAGCGGCUUUUUCCAGGGAAUGUCACCUGGAGCCGCCUGGCACUGCUGUCCCCUCUCCCCCGGCCCCAGGAGAGGCUUUUCCUGCUCCUCCCCGAGCGGAUUUUUCCCUCUUCCCAAUCCCAAAGGGACAAGGAUGGCCCCGAUCCCAAAGGGAAUGGCAGCAGGGAUUUCAGGGAUAGCCCGAUCCCAAAGGGAAUGGGAACAGGGAGAUCCCAAUCCCAAGAAAAACAGGAGCAGGGAUUUCCAGGGAUAUCCCAAUCCCAAAGGAAAUAGGAGCAGGGAUAUCCCAAUCCCAAAGGAAAUGGCACCAGGGAGAUCCCAAUCCCAAAGGAUUCCAGGGAUAUCCCAAGUGAUUCCAGGGAUCUCCCAAUCCCAAAGGAAACGGCACCAGGGGUACCCGAGGGAGAUCCUGCUCUGGAAUCAUUUCGGGAUCACGCUCCGGGGGCGUUUCCCACGCGGCGGCUCCGGAAUUCCAGGGAGGGAACACCAAGGAGCUGCUGGGAGCUGCUGGGAGCUGCUGGGAGCUGCUUUUUCCAGGGAAUUUGGGGAAGGAGAAGGCGCCAUCAGUCCGACCUCGAGAAAUCCACGGAGACAGAAAAAGAGAGAGAGAGAGAGAGAGAGGGAGAGGAAAAAGAAGCGAAUCCCGCGUGGAGAAUUUUCCAGGGAGGAUUUUCCAGGGAGGAUUUUCCCGGGAGAAUUUUCCAGGGAGGAUUUUCCCGGGAGGAUUUUCCCGGGAGGGUUUUCCCAGGAGGGUUUUCCAGGGAGGAUUUUCCAGGGAGGGUUUCCCCGGGAGGGUUUUCCAGGGAGGAUUUUCCAAGGAGAAUUUUCCCAGGAGGAUUUUCCCAGAAGGAUUUUCCCGGGAGAAUUUUCCAGGGAGGAUUUUCCAGGGAGGGUUUUCCAGGGAGGAUUUUCCCGGGAGGAUUUUCCUGGGAGGAUUUUCCCGGGAGGAUUUUCCCGGGAGAAUUUUCCUGGAAGGAUUUUCCCAGGAGGAUUUUCCAGGGACGAUUUUCCCGGGAGGAUUUUCCCGGGAGGAUUUUCCUGGGAGGAUUUUCCUGGGAGGAUUUUCCCGGGAGGAUUUUCCUGGGAGGAUUUUCCUGGGAGGAUUUUCCCGGGAGGAUUUUCCUGGGAGGAUUUUCCAGGGAGGA